Non-coding RNA from Podarcis lilfordi (Lilford's wall lizard), 72 nucleotides. NCBI's taxonomy places the organism in Eukaryota, Metazoa, Chordata, Lepidosauria, Squamata, Lacertidae. The record is from the annotation of a GenBank genome assembly.
GGAGAAGGGCUGUAGCUUAGUGGUAGAGCAUCUGCAGAAGGUCCCAGGUUGCUUUGGUCCCUGGUAUCUCCA